RNAcentral lists this ribosomal RNA (427 nucleotides) under uncultured bacterium. RNAcentral's name for it is "bacterial SSU rRNA". It matches the Rfam family "Bacterial small subunit ribosomal RNA", at positions 30 to 459 of the family's 1533-position model. The record is from RNAcentral.
AUUGAACGCUGGCGGCAUGCCUUACACAUGCAAGUCGAACGGCAGCACGGGAGCAAUCCUGGUGGCGAGUGGCGAACGGGUGAGUAAUAUAUCGGAACGUGCCCAGUCGUGGGGAUAACGUAGCGAAAGCUACGCUAAUACCGCAUACGAUCUAUGGAUGAAAGCGGGGGAUCGCAAGACCUCGCGCGAUUGGAGCGGCCGAUAUCAGAUUAGGUAGUUGGUGAGGUAAAGGCUCACCAAGCCGACGAUCUGUAGCUGGUCUGAGAGGACGACCAGCCACACUGGGACUGAGACACGGCCCAGACUCCUACGGGAGGCAGCAGUGGGGAAUUUUGGACAAUGGGCGCAAGCCUGAUCCAGCAAUGCCGCGUGCAGGAUGAAGGCCUUCGGUUGUAACGUGUCUUUGUACGGUAACGAAACGGUAAGG